Molecule: non-coding RNA, 77 nt
Organism: Potamilus streckersoni
Lineage: Eukaryota; Metazoa; Mollusca; Bivalvia; Unionida; Unionidae
Source: the annotation of a GenBank genome assembly
GACCACUCCGGUGGUUUAGGGAUUAAAGAGUCCGCCUCGGAUGUGGGAGGUCGCGGGUUCGAACCCCGGUCGAGUUA